AGCAGAUUGUAUGAAAAUAAUUUGCCAAAACACAAAAUAAUUUGCCAUAAGAGUGCAUUUGACUUUAUUAUCUAAAUGUCCAGAAGCCCAAAGGUGAUGUUGAAUUCAAAGUGUGUUUAUUCAAUACGUUCUGAGCGUGGCUGCAUUCUAGAUCGUAUAGCCUGAACUGUUUUCUAAAACUCCCAUCAGUAAUGUUAAUUUUGCUAGCCUAACCUUAGGACCUUUCUCACAGAAAGCCUAUUUAAAGCAAAGCCUAGCAUAUUGAACUGAAUGUCCUGCAAAGAAUGUGUCAGCGAGAAAGACCUUGAUUGGGUAUUAUUAAUUAUUAUACAUUUUCUUUACCUCUGUCCACCUGCUGAUUUUAUGAAUGAUAGACACCUCCAAGGUCAUAUUCGGAUAACAAGCGCUGUUUUUGCCCCUUCUCGUUUGAUUCAUUUCCUCAUGCUCUUCUCCCUCUCUUGGACAGAUGCUGCCAGGGGCAUUAGCACAGUGGCAUUGUGGUUGCUCUGCCAGCUCCCAUCAGCGCAUACCUGGCAUCAGACAAUCACCUUGACCCCCUGGUGAGAAAAGAAGGGGCUCUGGCUGUUCUCCAAGAUUCUCCUUCCUCCUACUCCAAUCAUGCCCAUGCAUGGACUCGACACAUGUGCAGCAGUCAAAUACAAAUUGUGACAAUCACCAAGCAGGUCUAUUACAGUCAGAUUUACCACCGCUGGGAAGCACAGCAGGUAACAUAGAGCUACAGUUGUUAUGCCAACUGUGCUGCAAAUACCUAAUUGCAGAAACACCAUCAAUUGGCUGCUGCUGCACAGGCGGAAAUGUGGUGUUUAAAGACCAGCCGAUCUGGAAAACGAGAGAACUGGGAACUGCUGACAAAACACUUCAGCUGUUCCAAAGUUUGAGAAUUAUGAGAACAGUACCUGAACAAAAGAGCAGAAACAUGAACUCUCCAGAGAAGCCGAACUCCUGCAGCGAGCCAAAACCAAACAGUAGGCGCCUUUUCAGGUUCCUUUUAGGUUUCACAAAGCAUUCUGGGAUGAUGGAGAAAUAAACAAAUUCCAUUUUUAGAUAUGGAUAUAUACAGUAUUGCUGUGGUUAUUGUAAUGUUAACUACGUUGAGG
Long non-coding RNA from Cyprinus carpio carpio, 1118 nucleotides. Lineage: Eukaryota; Metazoa; Chordata; Actinopteri; Cypriniformes; Cyprinidae. The record is from Ensembl.